GGAUGGUGGCUCAGUGGUAAAGCACUUGCUUAGCAUGUGUGAGGCACUGGGUUCCAUUCUCAGCACCA
Molecule: transfer RNA, 68 nt
Filed under: Marmota monax (woodchuck)
Lineage: Eukaryota; Metazoa; Chordata; Mammalia; Rodentia; Sciuridae
Description: tRNA.Ala
Source: RNAcentral